RNAcentral lists this unclassified non-coding RNA (240 nucleotides) under soil metagenome. RNAcentral describes it as "partial contains 5.8S ribosomal RNA, internal transcribed spacer 2, and large subunit ribosomal RNA". The record is from RNAcentral.
AACUGAUACUACCUGCGGGAACCUGCGGAGGGAUCAUUACUGAAGUGAUUUGGGGAUGUUGCUGGCCCUCUCUCAAGGGGGGGCACUGUGCACUCCUCGAAACAAUUCACAAUUUCCAUCACACCCCUUGUGCACACCUUGUAGGCACCCAAACCCACCUCCGGGUGGUGGGGUCCUAUGUAUUCCUUCACCUCACACUCUGUUGAAUGGUGCCAUGGGACGCAUCUAAAGGAUUAUUUG